GGGGCUGAAAGGAUUUCUACAUUUUGAUAUUUUAAUUAUGUCCUAUUUAACUGAUUACAUUUAUUAAUUUUUUGUAUAUUUAAUAGAUUUAUUCCUUAAUGAUAUUAGAAAUAGAGAAAUAUUAAUGAUUAUAGCUUAAUUGCAAAACACAGUAUUAUAUCUUUUUCUAGAAAUUUAGUAAUAGCAUGAAAUAAAUUAGUAGAAUGUUAAAUUGUGUUUUCUUGAUUCAAUUUAUUUAUUUAAAGAAUGCUCUGAUUGUAAAGUAUAAUUUUAUUUGUUAUUCUUCUUGCAAUUAGAAAAGUAUAAAGUAUCUGAAUUUAAAAGUUUAGUGAAAAUUUUGUUAAUUGGUUAAACGGUAUAAGCCUAAUUUUUAUGUUAAUAUGGACGUGGGUUCAAAUCCCACCAGCUCCA
RNAcentral lists this non-coding RNA (411 nucleotides) under Symphyocladia marchantioides. The record is from RNAcentral. Lineage: Eukaryota; Rhodophyta; Florideophyceae; Ceramiales; Rhodomelaceae.